GCCCACAUAGCUCAGUCGGUAGAGCACUUCCUUGGUAAGGAAGAGGUCACCGGUUCGAAUCCGGUCGUGGGCCCCA
This 76-nucleotide transfer RNA is filed under the name Gammaproteobacteria bacterium. RNAcentral describes it as "tRNA-Thr". It matches the Rfam family "tRNA". Rfam says of the family: Transfer RNA (tRNA) molecules are approximately 80 nucleotides in length. RNAcentral also lists the same sequence under 1 other name. The record is from RNAcentral. Lineage: Bacteria; Pseudomonadati; Pseudomonadota; Gammaproteobacteria.